CAGCGGCGGACGGGUGAGUAAUGCCUAGGAAUCUGCCUAGUAGUGGGGGACAACGUUUCGAAAGGAACGCUAAUACCGCAUACGUCCUACGGGAGAAAGUGGGGGAUCUUCGGACCUCACGCUAUUAGAUGAGCCUAGGUCGGAUUAGCUAGUUGGUAGGGUAAAGGCCUACCAAGGCGACGAUCCGUAACUGGUCUGAGAGGAUGAUCAGUCACACUGGAACUGAGACACGGUCCAGACUCCUACGGGAGGCAGCAGUGGGGAAUAUUGGACAAUGGGCGAAAGCCUGAUCCAGCCAUGCCGCGUGUGUGAAGAAGGCCUUCGGGUCGUAAAGCACUUUAAGUUGGGAGGAAGGGCUCAUAGCGAAUACCUGUGAGUUUUGACGUUACCAACAGAAUAAGCACCGGCUAACUUCGUGCCAGCAGCCGCGGUAAUACGAAGGGUGCAAGCGUUAAUCGGAAUUACUGGGCGUAAAGCGCGCGUAGGUGGCUUGAUAAGUUGGAUGUGAAAUCCCCGGGCUCAACCUGGGAACUGCAUCCAAAACUGUCUGGCUAGAGUGCGGUAGAGGGUAGUGGAAUUUCCAGUGUAGCGGUGAAAUGCGUAGAUAUUGGAAGGAACACCAGUGGCGAAGGCGACUACCUGGACUGACACUGACACUGAGGUGCGAAAACGUGGGGAGCAAACAGGAUUAGAUACCCUGGUAGUCCACGCCGUAGACGAUGUCAACUACCCGUUGGGAUCCUUGAGAUCUUAGUGGGCGCACCUAACGCAUUAAGGUUGACCGCCUGGGGGAGUACGGCCCGCCAGGGUGAAAACUCCAGAUGAAUUUGACGGG
RNAcentral lists this ribosomal RNA (835 nucleotides) under Pseudomonas oryzihabitans. Its description in RNAcentral is "bacterial SSU rRNA". It matches the Rfam family "Bacterial small subunit ribosomal RNA", at positions 93 to 917 of the family's 1533-position model. The record is from RNAcentral. Lineage: Bacteria; Pseudomonadati; Pseudomonadota; Gammaproteobacteria; Pseudomonadales; Pseudomonadaceae.